Sander lucioperca (pikeperch) is the source of this 102-nucleotide long non-coding RNA. RefSeq lists it as uncharacterized. The transcript has 3 exons. The record is from RefSeq and is a predicted model, not a curated record. Lineage: Eukaryota; Metazoa; Chordata; Actinopteri; Perciformes; Percidae.
UUCACUCGAGCAGUUGUGUGGAGCUGAUAGACAUAAUUAGCUUUGUAGCAACUCACUUGGCAAUGGCUUGAGUGUAACGGACAUUCAUAAAUAUGAAAAAGU